CCUACGGGUGGCAGCAGUGGGGAAUAUUGCACAAUGGGGGGAACCCUGAUGCAGCGACGUCGCGUGAGUGAAGAAGUAUUUCGGUAUGUAAAGCUUCAUCAGCAGGGGAGUAAAUGACGGUACCUGACUCAGAAGCCCCGGCUAACUACGUGCCAGCAGCCGCGGUAACACGUAGGAGGCCAGCGUGAUCCGGAUUUACUGGGUGUAAAGGGAGCGUAGACGGCAGAGCAAGUCUGAAGUGAAAGCCCGCGGCCCAACUGCGGGACUGCAUUGGAAACUGCCCGGCUAGAGUGCUGGAGAGGUAAGCGGAAUUCCUGGUGUAGCGGUGAAAUGCGUAGAUAUUAGGAGGAACACCAGUGGCGAAGGCAGCUUACUGGACAGUAACUGACGUUGAGGCUCGAAAGCGUGGGGAGCAAACAGGAUUAGAUACCCCAGUAGUC
This 440-nucleotide ribosomal RNA is filed under the name uncultured bacterium. RNAcentral describes it as "partial 16S ribosomal RNA". It matches the Rfam family "Bacterial small subunit ribosomal RNA", at positions 338 to 795 of the family's 1533-position model. The record is from RNAcentral.